CUGGAGAUGGCUCUUCAGAGAAGGAGA
This 27-nucleotide non-coding RNA is filed under the name Rattus norvegicus (Norway rat). Lineage: Eukaryota; Metazoa; Chordata; Mammalia; Rodentia; Muridae. The record is from RNAcentral.